UCCCUUUGGAUGUCUUCAUGU
RNAcentral lists this non-coding RNA (21 nucleotides) under Arabidopsis thaliana (thale cress). The record is from RNAcentral. Lineage: Eukaryota; Viridiplantae; Streptophyta; Magnoliopsida; Brassicales; Brassicaceae.